GGUCCCGCCUGCCCAGUGACUCUUUAAACGGCCGCGGUAUCCUAACCGUGCAAAGGUAGCAUAAUCACUUGUCCCCUAAAUAGGGACUGGUAUGAAUGGCUAAAUGAGGACUAAACUGUCUCUUGCGGACUGGCCAAUGAAAUUGAUUUUCCAGUACAAAAGCUGGAAUGUACCCAUAAGACGAGAAGACCCUGUGGAGCUUCAAAACCAAAUCACCCGGCAUGUUCAUUGGAUUUUUAGUUGGGGCGACUUCGGAAUAUAAUAAAACUUCCAAAAUAAAUUAAUUUCAUCAAGAUUAACACACCAAAAUUUCUUUAUAGAUCCAGCAAAUAAUUUUAUUUAUCUGAUCAAUGAACCAAGUUACCCCAGGGAUAACAGCGCAAUCUCCUUUUAGAGUCCAUAUCGACAAGGGG
This 413-nucleotide ribosomal RNA is filed under the name Lacerta viridis (green lizard). RNAcentral describes it as "partial 16S ribosomal RNA". It matches the Rfam family "Bacterial large subunit ribosomal RNA", at positions 1851 to 2515 of the family's 2925-position model. Lineage: Eukaryota; Metazoa; Chordata; Lepidosauria; Squamata; Lacertidae. The record is from RNAcentral.